This 72-nucleotide transfer RNA is filed under the name Bos taurus (domestic cattle). It matches the Rfam family "tRNA". Rfam says of the family: Transfer RNA (tRNA) molecules are approximately 80 nucleotides in length. RNAcentral also lists the same sequence under 4 other names. The record is from Rfam by way of RNAcentral. Lineage: Eukaryota; Metazoa; Chordata; Mammalia; Artiodactyla; Bovidae.
UCCCUGAUGGUCCAGUGGUUUGGACUUGGCCCUUUCACUGAUGAGGCUCAGGUUCAAUCCCUGGUCUGGGAA